Molecule: ribosomal RNA, 1286 nt
Filed under: metagenome
Description: bacterial SSU rRNA
Rfam family: Bacterial small subunit ribosomal RNA
Source: RNAcentral
UAGCUAGUUGGUGAGGUAAAGGCUUACCAAGGCGACGAUCUGUAGCGGGUCUGAGAGGAUGAUCCGCCACACUGGAACUGAGACACGGUCCAGACUCCUACGGGAGGCAGCAGUGGGGAAUUUUGGACAAUGGGGGCAACCCUGAUCCAGCCAUGCCGCGUGAGUGAAGAAGGCCUUCGGGUUGUAAAGCUCUUUCGGCCGGGAAGAAAUCGCAUGGGCCAAUACCCUGUGUGGAUGACGGUACCGGAAUAAGAAGCACCGGCUGACUACGUGCCAGCAGCCGCGGUAAUACGUAGGGUGCGAGCGUUAAUCGGAAUUACUGGGCGUAAAGCGUGCGCAGGCGGUUUUGUAAGACAGGCGUGAAAUCCCCGGGCUUAACCUGGGAACUGCGUUUGUGACUGCAAGGCUAGAGUACGGCAGAGGGGGGUGGAAUUCCACGUGUAGCAGUGAAAUGCGUAGAGAUGUGGAGGAACACCAAUGGCGAAGGCAGCCCCCUGGGUCGAUACUAACGCUCAUGCACGAAAGCGUGGGUAGCAAACAGGAUUAGAUACCCUGGUAGUCCACGCCCUAAACUAUGUCAACUAGGUGUUGGGUGGGUAAAACCAUUUAGUACCGUAGCUAACGCGUGAAGUUGACCGCCUGGGGAGUACGGCCGCAAGGUUAAAACUCAAAGGAAUAGACGGGGACCCGCACAAGCGGUGGAUGAUGUGGAUUAAUUCGAUGCAACGCGAAAAACCUUACCUACCCUUGACAUGCCAGGAACUUGCCAGAGAUGGCUUGGUGCCCGAAAGGGAGCCUGGACACAGGUGCUGCAUGGCUGUCGUCAGCUCGUUCGUGAGAUGUUGGGUUAAGUCCCGCAACGAGCGCAACCCUUGUCGUUAAUUGCCAUCAUUUAGUUGGGCACUUUAACGAGACUGCCGGUGACAAACCGGAGGAAGGUGGGGAUGACGUCAAGUCCUCAUGGCCCUUAUGGGUAGGGCUUCACACGUCAUACAAUGGUCGGUACAAAGGGUUGCCAAGCCGCGAGGCGGAGCCAAUCCCAGAAAGCCGAUCGUAGUCCGGAUUGCAGGCUGCAACUCGCCUGCAUGAAGUCGGAAUCGCUAGUAAUCGUGGAUCAGCAUGUCACGGUGAAUACGUUCCCGGGUCUUGUACACACCGCCCGUCACACCAUGGGAGCGGGUUCCGCCAGAAGUAGGUAGCCUAACCGCAAGGGGGGCGCUUACCACGGCGGGGUUCGUGACUGGGGUGAAGUCGUAACAAGGUAGCCGUAGGGGAACCUGCGGCUG